Molecule: ribosomal RNA, 452 nt
Filed under: uncultured bacterium
Lineage: Bacteria
Description: partial 16S ribosomal RNA
Rfam family: Bacterial small subunit ribosomal RNA
Source: RNAcentral
GAUGAACGCUGGCGGCGUGCCUAACACAUGCAAGUCGAGCGAUUCUCUUCGGAGAAGAGCGGCGGACGGGUGAGUAACGCGUGGGUAACCUGCCCUGUACACACGGAUAACAUACCGAAAGGUAUGCUAAUACGAGAUAAUAUGCUUUUAUCGCAUGGUAGAAGUAUCAAAGCUUUUGCGGUACAGGAUGGACCCGCGUCUGAUUAGCUAGUUGGUAAGGUAACGGCCUACCAAGGCGACGACCAGUAGCCGACCUGGGAGGGUGAUCGGCCACAGUGGAACUGAGACACGGUCCAAACUCCUACGGGAGGCAGCAGUGGGGAAUAUUGCACAAUGGGCGAAAGCCGGAUGCAGCAACGCCGCGUGAGCGAUGAAGGCGUUCGGGUCGUAAAGUUCUGUCCUCAAGGAAGAUAAUGACGGUACUUGAGGAGGAAGCCCCGGCUAACUACGUG